GAUGAACGCUAGCUACAGGCUUAACACAUGCAAGUCGAGGGGCAGCAUGGUCUUAGCUUGCUAAGGCCGAUGGCGACCGGCGCACGGGUGAGUAACACGUAUCCAACCUGCCGUCUACUCUUGGACAGCCUUCUGAAAGGAAGAUUAAUACAAGAUGGCAUCAUGAGUCCGCAUGUUCACAUGAUUAAAGGUAUUCCGGUAGACGAUGGGGAUGCGUUCCAUUAGAUAGUAGGCGGGGUAACGGCCCACCUAGUCUUCGAUGGAUAGGGGUUCUGAGAGGAAGGUCCCCCACAUUGGAACUGAGACACGGUCCAAACUCCUACGGGAGGCAGCAGUGAGGAAUAUUGGUCAAUGGACGAGAGUCUGAACCAGCCAAGUAGCGUGAAGGAUGAGGGUCCUACGGAUUGUAAACUUCUUUUAUAAGGGAAUAAACCUCCCACGUGUGGGAGCUUGUAUGUACCUUAUGAAUAGCAUCGGCUAACUCCGUGCCAG
Molecule: ribosomal RNA, 492 nt
Filed under: uncultured bacterium
Lineage: Bacteria
Description: bacterial SSU rRNA
Rfam family: Bacterial small subunit ribosomal RNA
Source: RNAcentral